RNAcentral lists this long non-coding RNA (2132 nucleotides) under Equus asinus (donkey). RNAcentral's name for it is "lncRNA (ENSEASG00005028384.1)". The record is from RNAcentral. Lineage: Eukaryota; Metazoa; Chordata; Mammalia; Perissodactyla; Equidae.
AUCUUCAGGAGGGCAUGCAGCUUUUAUUGGCUACUGCAAUACAUUCAGAAAUUUUAUAAAAUUUUUCGGAUAUAAUAUAAAUUCCCAAAGCAUUACAGAUAGGCAUCUGUAUUACAUACAAUCUUCAAAUAUUUUCAGAAGUUAGAACUAUGUAUUAGUUGAUAUUUAAAGUGUGAAAGACCCCUGACAAAAUAACUAGCACAUUCAUGAAAAUACAAUUUACGAGUCUAAACGACACAAUCCAGCUGUAGCCCAGGGGCCUCGUGACAACAGGUGUAUUAGGUUGCAAAUCAUCCUUUCCGCAGGAAAGUACAGAUUUCAAGAUGGCAACUGCUGUGUCGUCAGUUUUCCUCCACUAUGGACUCUAUCAGAAAUCCUUUAGAAAACCCUACCCUAAACGUGCUGGUUGUUUUCCUGCUGCGGUUCACUCUCUUUCCAUUAGAUGGCAGUAACACACCAUCUCUUUCUUUCUCAGGGCCAGAAAUUAAGGACGAUAAAUGAAGGCCCACUGCAGGCCAAGUCUCUCUAUGUCCAAGUUAAUGGGGUAUGAAAAUUGGAGACGAGAAUAAAAAAGGAUUCUAAAGAGAUCCUGAGGCCAAAAUAGUGCUGGCCAUGGCAAAUAAGAAAGAGACAACUCAUGAAUGAGAGACAUCCAUGAGAGAGGUAUUAAAGAAAUUCUGCUAAACACUAAAAGGAUGCAGACAAGAAGGGAAAUGAAAUCUAGACAUCCUGGCUUUUUUCCCCCUAGACUGAAGGAAAAAAUGAGGCAUUAACUUUUGACUGAAAAAGGAUAUUUUAAUAGAAUAGAAAGGCUACCCUCGUUUAAAAAGCAAUUGAAGAAUGUCUCAAAUGCUCAGUUCUUCUGAACAUUAAGAUUUAGUCACUCAAAAUGGCCAUUAACAGAGUAAUAACAUAGUUAAAUAAUCCAAUCAACUAAUCAGGACUAUUUUCCCACCUGUCUCAAAACCUUCUGGCUGUCCCACAGAUGAUCUGCCCACCUCCCCAUCCUGUGGCCAAGGCCAAUAAAUGAAAACCAAUUCGGCAAAUUAUGGAGACUUCAAACAGCUAAGAAUAAAGACCCUUUUUAUAAAUGCUUCUUAAGAAAGUACUUUGGAUAACUUAAAAGGACAAGUCUGUCCCCCCAGAGAGUAGGCAUAUCAAUAUUUAUCUUUUUGUACACGUAUUAACAUUUCUCUAUUAUUUUAUUCUUACUGAUUUAAAUACACAUAACUCCAGUGGUUGAAAUCCACCCUGAUAGAAACAGCCAUGAUAGCAAAGUAAACAGAAACGUCCUUUUACCCUCUGUUCUUAUAGGCCUGAAACGAACCAACUAAAUAAACUCAUCUAGUAAUGUGGAGCAGAGCAGUUUUUAAAAAGGAGGUGUGAUAAAGGAAAAAGAACACAGGUGCAGGAAACUCCAUAGAUGCUGAAUUCAAGGCAAGUGAGUACAAAUUUGCUAGAAGACGUUAUUCUCUCCAGAAUCAGAAAAUAUUCUGGGAGACAGAACUAACUCACAGGAAUGAAGUCUACAGGAAAAUACUUUGUAUUAAGACAAAAUGACAAAAAGCCCAAGCAUUCAGAGCUCAGAGAGGAAACAUGUCAUGCGGCUUCAGAUCAGCUGGCCCAGGAGGCCUAACAAGGAAGCCAUUGGGGCACCCGCUGGGCCUAAUUGUUUUAGAACAUGUGGUACUUUGUGCCACCACCCAGCUGUGAAUUCCCUGGUUUUUGUCAGCUUGUGUCACAACCUAAAGAAGAAAAUAGUAGCUUAACCCUCCUUCUACUAAUUUACCAUAUUUCUUCUUCUUAUAACCUCCUGUACAAUGGUGAAGGGACUGGACUAUAUAUAAACUCCACAUUUCCUCCACUUUUAAUUAUAUAAAGAAAAUAGCAUGACUGUCACAGAAACACAGUACAGAAAAAGCACAAUACUGAACAUAUGAUAGAAGCUCAAUAAAUACUUAAUGUAUCAGAUCUGUUUUCAAAAUGUUAUUUCGUUAUACAUUCAUCACAGUUGCUGGGUAUGGGCCAAAAAUCAUUUAGUGCACAAAGAAAAAUUUUACAAAGCUUUCAGCAUUUAUUAAAAUUAGGAUAAUUGCUGUAUUUCCUUUGUAGAAUAAAUUUAAGUAAAAAAU